RNAcentral lists this transfer RNA (78 nucleotides) under Betaproteobacteria bacterium. Its description in RNAcentral is "tRNA-Ala". The record is from RNAcentral. Lineage: Bacteria; Pseudomonadati; Pseudomonadota; Betaproteobacteria.
CCAGCGGAUAGCCGAUCUCGGCGGCAAGGCGGAUGGCAUCCGCCUCGGUGCGCGCCGUUCGGUUCGGCGGCUGCUUGA